Molecule: unclassified non-coding RNA, 316 nt
Filed under: Bombus terrestris (buff-tailed bumblebee)
Lineage: Eukaryota; Metazoa; Arthropoda; Insecta; Hymenoptera; Apidae
Description: misc RNA ENSBTSG00005035537.1
Source: RNAcentral
ACACGAACCACCCAAGUAUUGAUUUUUGAAUUAAUUUUAAUCGUUGCACGAAUCGCGUGUCAGAUGCUGACUUCUCUUUUCCUUUCUCCGCCUGUAUUUGGCACAGCAAGCAACCAGAUUCCAGUCGCACGAAUGGAAGAUUCCAACGUGGAAUUCAUAUACAUUCCUGUAAAUGUUACGAUACAUUCGUUUGGUGAAGAUCGAUAGAAUCGUGAAAAGAAUCAGCAAAAUUCGACUGACGCCCAUUAACCGAGGCCGGCCCGCCAAUGCGAUUAUUCUAUCAGGCGAGUGGGAUAUAACGCGGUGAGAAAGCGAC